Molecule: ribosomal RNA, 465 nt
Filed under: Vreelandella stevensii
Lineage: Bacteria; Pseudomonadati; Pseudomonadota; Gammaproteobacteria; Oceanospirillales; Halomonadaceae
Description: partial 16S ribosomal RNA
Rfam family: Bacterial small subunit ribosomal RNA
Source: RNAcentral
CCUACGGGGGGCAGCAGUGGGGAAUAUUGGACAAUGGGCGAAAGCCUGAUCCAGCCAUGCCGCGUGUGUGAAGAAGGCCUUCGGGUUGUAAAGCACUUUCAGUGGGGAAGAAAGCCUUGGGGCUAAUACCCUCGAGGAAGGACAUCACCCACAGAAGAAGCACCGGCUAACUCCGUGCCAGCAGCCGCGGUAAUACGGAGGGUGCGAGCGUUAAUCGGAAUUACUGGGCGUAAAGCGCGCGUAGGCGGUCUGAUAAGCCGGUUGUGAAAGCCCCGGGCUCAACCUGGGAACGGCAUCCGGAACUGUCAGGCUAGAGUGCAGGAAAGGAAGGUAGAAUUCCCGGUGUAGCGGUGAAAUGCGUAGAGAUCGGGAGGAAUACCAGUGGCGAAGGCGGCCUUCUGGACUGACACUGACGCUGAGGUGCGAAAGCGUGGGUAGCAAACAGGAUUAGAUACCCUGGUAGUC